RNAcentral lists this unclassified non-coding RNA (253 nucleotides) under uncultured Flavobacteriaceae bacterium. Its description in RNAcentral is "contains 16S-23S intergenic spacer region". It matches the Rfam family "Bacterial small subunit ribosomal RNA", at positions 524 to 776 of the family's 1533-position model. The record is from RNAcentral. Lineage: Bacteria; Pseudomonadati; Bacteroidota; Flavobacteriia; Flavobacteriales; Flavobacteriaceae.
UACGGAGGAUCCAAGCGUUAUCCGGAAUCAUUGGGUUUAAAGGGUCCGUAGGCGGGAUAAUAAGUCAGUGGUGAAAGUCUGCAGCUCAACUGUAGAAUUGCCAUUGAUACUGUUGUUCUUGAGUGUUUAUGAAGUGGUUAGAAUAUGUAGUGUAGCGGUGAAAUGCAUAGAUAUUACAUAGAAUACCGAUUGCGAAGGCAGAUCACUAAUAAAAUACUGACGCUGAUGGACGAAAGCGUAGGUAGCGAACAGG